UAUGGCUCAGUCAGUAGAGCAUGAGACUCUUAAUAUCAGGGUUGUGGGUUCGAGGCUCACAUUGGGAAAAA
Podarcis lilfordi (Lilford's wall lizard) is the source of this 71-nucleotide non-coding RNA. Lineage: Eukaryota; Metazoa; Chordata; Lepidosauria; Squamata; Lacertidae. The record is from the annotation of a GenBank genome assembly.